CAAUUAUUUACCAUUUGAAAUCAAUGAAAACCCUAUUAUUAGGUUUAACAUACUAGUAGCUAUUUAAGUAAAUCUAUUUUUUUUCUCAAUAUCCCUCCACACAAAACAUUAAUAGUUUCUUAUCAUUCAGCAUUGUGUGAUCGUAUAGUCCACUUUUUGGUCAUUCAGCACAGAACAUUGACAUUAUUGUGGUUUCAAUAUCUUUGACCGAGUGAUGAAAAUAAUAACUGAUCCAUCUUUUGUCUUUGAAUUUAUUCUGAUCUUGUUUCUAUGCUUUCUCCAUUUAUUCUAGGUGAUGAAUUUCAAUCCUUCCGAAAAAGAAACAAUAAAAUCUGAAGUUAUGUAUUAUACAAAAUUGUUUGCAUACAUGUAGCAUAAUAUGAUUUUCGAUAAAAAUAGCUAUGAGGUAUGGAUUUUACUGAUUGUUAAAGGUUGUCCAGUGUCAUCAGUUGCUAACCUUCUACAUCCUUUGGUCUCUGAUGGAGAGUUGUCAAAAAAGCAAUAUACCAC
This 510-nucleotide long non-coding RNA is filed under the name Mytilus galloprovincialis (Mediterranean mussel). Lineage: Eukaryota; Metazoa; Mollusca; Bivalvia; Mytilida; Mytilidae. The record is from RNAcentral.